Molecule: non-coding RNA, 28 nt
Organism: Flavobacterium antarcticum DSM 19726
Lineage: Bacteria; Pseudomonadati; Bacteroidota; Flavobacteriia; Flavobacteriales; Flavobacteriaceae
Source: Rfam
UAACCUCUGGCGAAAGGCGUGAAUGUUG